GCUUUUUUUUUAGACGGUAGGUCGAAUUUGUGUAGGACGAUUAUUACGCUUCUUCGUCGUCAACGAGAUUGUAACCAUGACGCAGGAAGGAGGAGGCAUGCGAGGCUUGACGCAUCUCGUCAGCUACACAUCCGAUUCCGAUGAGGAACGAGGAAAAGACGAAGAAGAGGAGGAAGAGCUGAAGAAGGAGCAGGGGGAUGAUGAAGUGAUGGCGAGCAUACCAGAAGAAGAAGAAGCGGUGGAUGGAAAGGAUGAUACCAAGGUGGAAACCAUCCAAGAUGAGGAUGAUGAGAUGGAGAUGGGGACACCCUUGCAGGAAAGCCCAAGUCCAUCUUCGAAUGCCCCAAGCUUGGUGUCCUACGAGAGAUCAGAGACAAAGCCCAAGAAGAUAAAAAAGACCGGUCUGGUGUCGUACGAGGGUGAGGAGGAGGACGGGAGGAGGUCGAAGGAGGCCGGAGAAGAAGGAGAGGAUCUGGACGGGUCGUGGUCGGAGAUGAAACUCUCUCCUGGGGAUGACCUGGAAGACAGGGUCAAAGUUGACAAGGUCAAGCUUGUCGACAGCUCUUAUCUGAGUGCCUCGAUGUCACUGCCAGAAUCAGCCUUGUCACAAAACAUCCGUCGACUGAGUGCAGAUGAAGUCACGUUACCGCCUGAGCCACCGGGCAGGUGCUCUAGACAUCUUCAGGAGAAAAUCAACUCGUAUUACAAGAAAAGCCUGAAUCUGAACCAGAUCAUCCAAAGAAGAAAAGACUUCAGAAAUCCAAGUAUAUAUGAAAAGCUGAUUGACUUUCUUGGUAUAGACGAACUAGGUACCAACUAUCCAAAGGAUAUGUAUGACCCUUACUGUUGGAAAGAAAGCUCUUACUACGAUGCUUUAGCCAAAGCGCAGAGGGAAGAGAUACAGAAGAAGAAAGAGAAAGACAAGAAAGAAAAGACAAAGGUGGAGUUUGUCACAGGGAUGGUGAGGAAAACACAGAUCCAGGCACCGCUGGUCACCAGCACCACCGGUGUAGCGGUACCAUCGACAUCAACAAGCAACCAGGGCACCGGCCAUGAAGAAGAGAAAAAGAGAAAGAGCAAGUGGGAUAACCCUGGGCAAUCCCUUCCUGCUCCGGUUCCUCUGAUGCAACGACCUGUCGUCUACGUCGUCACCACCACCAUAACCACCUCAACGGCCGUCUCGACAUCCACAUCAGCGUCAGGAUCAAAGACAACGGUCAUCUCAUCAAUAGGGGCAAUAAAGAAACAGAAAGUGGAGAAAUAGUAAAAGCUAUUUCACGGAUGACUUGAAUAUAUUCAUCAUGUGGGGAUUUAGCAGAUACUAUAAUGGAUGACUAGAAACAGAUGAUGGUGAAAUACCAAGGACUAUCACAUGGAUGGCUAGAACCAGGUGAAAUAGCAAAGACUAUCACAUGGAUUGCUCAAAAGAGGUGGUGAAAUAGCAAAGACUAUCACAUGGAUGACUAGAACCAGAUGGUGAAACAGCAAAGACUAUCUCAUGGAUGGCUAGAACCAGGUGGUGAAAUAGCAAAGACUAUCACAUGGAUGACUAGAACCAGAUGGUGAAACAGCAAAGACUAUCUCAUGGAUGGCUAGAACCAGGUGGUGAAAUAGCAAAGACUAUCACGUGGAUGGCUAGAGCUAGGUGGUGAAAUAGCAAAGACUGUCACAUACAUGGAUAGAACCAGCUGGUGAAAUAGAGACUAUCACAUGAGUGACAAGGAAAUAUUCAUUGUGUAGGGAUUUUUAUUAAAUAAUAUUUCAUGGCUUGAGAGAAGCGGGGGGUUGAGAAAUGAUCAAGAAUAAUUUCUUGGGUGAAAGAAAGAGAUGGUGAAAUAGUAAAGACUAACUCAUAUGACUAGGAAUGGUUCAUGAAGUGGGAGUUAAGCAAAGAAAAUGUUCUUAAGUGACAGAAACAUAAGGUUGUGGAAUAGCAAAAAUUAUCUCAUAGAUGUCAAGAAAUGAUCUUGUAGGGAUUUAGCAAAGAAUAUUUCUCUGGGUGAAAGAAAUAGGUGGAGAAAUAGCAAAGAUAAUAUCCGUCAUAAUAAUAAUCUGAACGGGUGAUUGGUCUUAACCCCAUCAUGUGACCAAAGAUAGUUCCAACCAAUGUCACAAAAUUGGCAAAAUGGCAUAAAUCCCCACAUCUGACGUCACACCUCUGGGGCCCGUUGCAGAAAGAGUUGCGUUUAAA
Molecule: unclassified non-coding RNA, 2191 nt
Filed under: Lytechinus variegatus (green sea urchin)
Lineage: Eukaryota; Metazoa; Echinodermata; Echinoidea; Temnopleuroida; Toxopneustidae
Description: sAP30-binding protein-like, transcript variant X3
Source: RNAcentral